CGCGGGAUGGAGCAGUCCGGUAGCUCGUCGGGCUCAUAACCCGAAGGUCGUUGGUUCAAAUCCAGCUCCCGCAACCA
Molecule: transfer RNA, 77 nt
Filed under: Pseudomonas aeruginosa
Lineage: Bacteria; Pseudomonadati; Pseudomonadota; Gammaproteobacteria; Pseudomonadales; Pseudomonadaceae
Also listed under: 3 other names
Description: tRNA-Met
Rfam family: tRNA
About the family: Transfer RNA (tRNA) molecules are approximately 80 nucleotides in length.
Source: RNAcentral